CCUACGGGUGGCAGCAGUGGGGAAUAUUGGACAAUGGGGGCAACCCUGAUCCAGCCAUGCCGCGUGUGUGAAGAAGGCCCUCGGGUUGUAAAGCACUUUCAGUGAGGAAGAACGCCUUGUGGUUAAUACCCAUCAGGAAAGACAUCACUCACAGAAGAAGCACCGGCUAACUCCGUGCCAGCAGCCGCGGUAAUACGGAGGGUGCGAGCGUUAAUCGGAAUUACUGGGCGUAAAGCGCGCGUAGGUGGCUUGAUAAGCCGGUUGUGAAAGCCCCGGGCUCAACCUGGGAACGGCAUCCGGAACUGUCAAGCUAGAGUGCAGGAGAGGAAGGUAGAAUUCCCGGUGUAGCGGUGAAAUGCGUAGAGAUCGGGAGGAAUACCAGUGGCGAAGGCGGCCUUCUGGACUGACACUGACACUGAGGUGCGAAAGCGUGGGUAGCAAACAGGAUUAGAUACCCGAGUAGUC
RNAcentral lists this ribosomal RNA (465 nucleotides) under Vreelandella stevensii. RNAcentral's name for it is "partial 16S ribosomal RNA". It matches the Rfam family "Bacterial small subunit ribosomal RNA", at positions 338 to 795 of the family's 1533-position model. The record is from RNAcentral. Lineage: Bacteria; Pseudomonadati; Pseudomonadota; Gammaproteobacteria; Oceanospirillales; Halomonadaceae.